RNAcentral lists this microRNA precursor (189 nucleotides) under Oryza brachyantha (malo sina). RNAcentral's name for it is "MIR812 microRNA precursor family". It matches the Rfam family "MIR812 microRNA precursor family". Lineage: Eukaryota; Viridiplantae; Streptophyta; Magnoliopsida; Poales; Poaceae. The record is from Rfam by way of RNAcentral.
AAUAAGAUCAUUUUUUAGUUUUUUAUAUAAUGUUUUGACUCUUCGUCUUAUUUGAAAUUUUUUUGCGAUUAAUAUUUUUAUUUUUACUCGAUGAUAAAACAUGAAUAGUACUUUAUGCGUGACUAGUUUUUUAAAUUUUUUAUAUAUUUUUAAAAAAGACGAAUGGUCAAAUGUUAGACACGAAAAAAC